Molecule: ribosomal RNA, 395 nt
Filed under: uncultured bacterium
Lineage: Bacteria
Description: partial 16S ribosomal RNA
Rfam family: Bacterial small subunit ribosomal RNA
Source: RNAcentral
CCUACGGGUGGCAGCAGUGAGGAAUAUUGGUCAAUGGACGCAAGUCUGACCCAGCCAUGCCGCGUGCAGGAUGACGGCUCUAUGAGUUGUAACCUGCUUUUGUACGGGGGUAAACGCAGAUACGCUUAUCUGUCUGAAAGUAUCGUACGACUAAGGAUCGGCUAAGUCCGUGCCAGCAGCCCCGGUAAUACGGAGGAUUCAAGCGUUAUCCGGAUUUAUUGGAUUUAAAGGGUGCGUAGGCGGUCGGAUAAGUUAGCGGUGAAAUCCCGAGGCUCAACUUCGGAAUUGCCUCUGAUACUGUUCGGAUAGAGAGUAGUUGCGGUAGGCGGAAUGUAUGGUGUAGCGGUGAAAUGCUUAGAGAUCAGACAGAACACCGAUUGCGAAGGCAGCUUACC